Molecule: ribosomal RNA, 301 nt
Filed under: uncultured bacterium
Lineage: Bacteria
Description: partial 16S ribosomal RNA
Rfam family: Bacterial small subunit ribosomal RNA
Source: RNAcentral
CAGCCGCCACGGUAAUACGUAGGGUGCGAGCGUUAAUCGGAAUUACUGGGCGUAAAGCGUGCGCAGGCGGUUCGUUAAGACAGAUGUGAAAUCCCCGGGCUUAACCUGGGAACUGCAUCUGUGACUGGCGAGCUAGAGUAUGGCAGAGGGGGGUGGAAUUCCGCGUGUAGCAGUGAAAUGCGUAGAUAUGCGGAGGAACACCGAUGGCGAAGGCAGCCCCCUGGGCCAAUACUGACGCUCAUGCACGAAAGCGUGGGGAGCAAACAGGAUUAGAUACCCCUGUAGUCCCUGUCUCUUAUAC